UACGUAGGUGGCGAGCGUUGUCCGGGUUUACUGGGCGUAAAGGGAGCGUAGGCGGAUUUUUAAGUGAGAUGUGAAAUACUCGGGCUCAACUUGAGUGCUGCAUUUCAAACUGGAAGUCUAGAGUGCAGGAGAGGAGAAUGGAAUUCCUAGUGUAGCGGUGAAAUGCGUAGAGAUUAGGAAGAACACCAGUGGCGAAGGCGAUUCUCUGGACUGUAACUGACGCUGAGGCUCGAAAGCGUGGGGAGCAAACAGG
RNAcentral lists this ribosomal RNA (253 nucleotides) under uncultured bacterium. RNAcentral describes it as "partial 16S ribosomal RNA". It matches the Rfam family "Bacterial small subunit ribosomal RNA", at positions 524 to 776 of the family's 1533-position model. The record is from RNAcentral.